Molecule: ribosomal RNA, 499 nt
Filed under: uncultured bacterium
Lineage: Bacteria
Description: partial 16S ribosomal RNA
Rfam family: Bacterial small subunit ribosomal RNA
Source: RNAcentral
GACGAACGCUGGCGGCGUGCCUAAUACAUGCAAGUCGAGCGGACUUUCAAGAAGCUUGCUUUUUGAAAGUUAGCGGCGGACGGGUGAGUAACACGUGGGCAACCUGCCUGCAAGACGGGGAUAACUCCGGGAAACCGGGGCUAAUACCGGAUAAUAUCUUCCUUCACAUGAAGGAAGGUUGAAAGGCGGCGCAAGCUGCCGCUUGCAGAUGGGCCCGCGGCGCAUUAGCUAGUUGGUGAGGUAACGGCUCACCAAGGCGACGAUGCGUAGCCGACCUGAGAGGGUGAUCGGCCACACUGGGACUGAGACACGGCCCAGACUCCUACGGGAGGCAGCAGUAGGGAAUCUUCCGCAAUGGACGAAAGUCUGACGGAGCAACGCCGCGUGAGCGAAGAAGGUCUUCGGAUCGUAAAGCUCUGUUGUCAGGGAAGAACAAGUACCGUUCGAACAGGGCGGUACCUUGACGGUACCUGACCAGAAAGCCACGGCUAACUACGUG